AAAUGAGUUUUUGAAAAAAAAUGAAUUUUUAGAGAAUGAAGAUCAAAUAGUGGCAUAGUAUAAUACAUGAGUAAAUUGUGAGAAAGGGGUUUUAAUUUACAAUACUAUGUUGUACACUCCAUGGACAAUCUUUCAUAAAGUAUAAGUAAACAUGCUAUUGCUAUCUUUUUAUUAACUGUACUUUAGUUCAUAAAAAUACAAAGCUGCGAGCUAGGAAGAGAGUUUAUUUUCCCGUAACAGCAAUCCCAGUGCAUUGUAUUUGGAACUUCUGAAAUUUUCUUCACCUAAAAUAUAACUUCAAGCAUCAUUUUGGAGAUGGUUUAUAUGGAGGUAAUAACAUUUACAUUCAGUAUUUUUAGUAUCCUAAGUUUUUUCUUUAGUUUCAUCACUCUACAGACACGUGAGAUUGCUCCAUGUGUAGGGAUUUUAGUGCUGAACCUGGACGUCAGCAUUUGUAGGAUUCAUUCAUUGGCAUUGUGCUGAACCUGCAUGUCAGCAUUUGUAGGAUUCAUUCAUUGGCAUUGUGCUGAACCUGCAUGUCAGCAUUUGUAGGAUUCAUUCAUUGGCAUUGUGCUGAACCUGCAUGUCAGCAUUUGUAGGAUUCAUUCAUUGGCAUUGUGCUGAACCUGCAUGUCAGCAUUUGUAGGAUUCAUUCAUUGGCAUUGUGCACAAUUCCAAUUCAGUGGCAUGUUUGGUAAACGGGAUUAUUAUAGGAGAUAAGCUAAAAUCUUUACAAUUGUACUACGACUCCAUAGGAUUAUUAUUCUUGAUAGCUUGCCUAGUCUUAUGUGACAUAUUGAGAAUUUUGGUUAGGAAUAUUUAUCUAUUGGGGACCAUUGUCAUCAAUGGAUUUUAAUCUGUUAAUCUUGUUUUCCCUUGCUAGAUCUGACUUGGGUUGAUGGAGG
Molecule: long non-coding RNA, 905 nt
Filed under: Olea europaea (common olive)
Lineage: Eukaryota; Viridiplantae; Streptophyta; Magnoliopsida; Lamiales; Oleaceae
Description: long non-coding RNA (OEUR_LNC014399)
Source: RNAcentral